UACGUAGGGUGCGAGCGUUAAUCGGAAUUACUGGGCGUAAAGCGUGCGCAGGCGGUUUUGUAAGUCAGAUGUGAAAUCCCCGGGCUCAACCUGGGAACUGCAUUUGUGACUGCAUGGCUAGAGUGCGGCAGAGGGGGAUGGAAUUCCGCGUGUAGCAGUGAAAUGCGUAGAUAUGCGGAGGAACACCGAUGGCGAAGGCAAUCCCCUGGGCCUGCACUGACGCUCAUGCACGAAAGCGUGGGGAGCAAACAGG
RNAcentral lists this ribosomal RNA (253 nucleotides) under uncultured bacterium. Its description in RNAcentral is "partial 16S ribosomal RNA". It matches the Rfam family "Bacterial small subunit ribosomal RNA", at positions 524 to 776 of the family's 1533-position model. The record is from RNAcentral.